CUGAUUAGUAUCUUUUCAAUGACGUUACUUGUUUUUCUGUCUGUGAUAUCAAAUUGAUUCAAGUUGCAACAUUGGGUCGACGAAAUAAAUUUGAUUAAUGUUUGACUCUGACGUCUUGAUUAAUCAGAGUUUGAAAGGGAAUGAAACAGACAAAUGAAAAGCCGAUACGGAUAUCAUUUCAACCAUCCACCAUUUCUGAAGUGCUUGUGAAGAUGUACUUAUUUCCAAAGCUGCUUGAAGAUGCUUUCACAACAACGUUGGUGGUGAUGUUGAUCAUACUAAAACAGUUCAUUAAUCCUUUGUUUUUGAUCUGGACUUGUGGCCUGACAUAACAACGCAACAAAUCACUGGAUACUAUCAAACGAGAGACGAUCAACAGAGUGACCUUGAGUUGCGAGUAGGUAACAGUAGCAAUACGUUCGAUCAACUCAACACUCAACUGGGAUCAUAUCAAUCACAUCUGGAACACGGGUCGCGCGCAGUGAAACCACCGCGGAAGACCCACAAGCUUGAGGCGCGUGCAGUGUCGGAAAGGGGGUGGGGGUUCAAGGGGGGGGCUCGGCUGCCCCCUGCCCCCUUUCUGCGUGUGUUGGCGGCAAUUUGGUUGGUUCAGCCAUCCACGAAUCGUGAUCGCGGGGUUGAUGCCUUCAUCCAUGGAGCCAACAACUUCCUUCAUUUCUAUGAUGCAUUGUAGCCAAUAAAGAGAUAUUUGCUUUAAAACUAUU
Nilaparvata lugens (brown planthopper) is the source of this 725-nucleotide long non-coding RNA. RefSeq lists it as uncharacterized. The record is from RefSeq and is a predicted model, not a curated record. The transcript has 3 exons. Lineage: Eukaryota; Metazoa; Arthropoda; Insecta; Hemiptera; Delphacidae.